AUGACUGUACAUCCGCUCUGUGACUGUUGCUGUUUGGCAGCUAUGACAACAACUAACUUUGAAAUUUGUAUGAAUGGCUUCAAGGAAGAAAAAGCUUUCCUCCUCUAAAGUGCACCAGAGGUCUCUGAAAUGUACUGUAUACCUGGACAUUCAGACAGUCACAUGUCCAGGAGUGCUCCUGUCUAAAAAGUAUGACAUUUACCUCAGUGUGUGUAUAAUGGGCCAGUACAGGAAGACCCCCUGUUUGCCAUCUGUGUUCCCCUUACACUUCCACCACAAGAUGGCAUUUGUCAAGACUUUCCCCGGCGUUGUUGACCCUGCUGAUGUAGCUGACCUCCUCGAAGCUGACACAACAUGUUUUGAGCUGAUUCAGUUGGUGCCUCCAGAGGGUGAGAUCCUAGCCACGAUGGAGGAAAGCAGCAGAGAUUUCUUGUACCCUGGUCCGAGACUGAGCUCCAGAGAAGGAGCUGCAGAGAGAGAGAUACUACUGAAGAGAUCCUCCUCCUUUCCUGGAAUCUCCCCCAAAGUGGAGUUUGCCACAACAUCAGUCAUAGAAGAGAGUGAUGGAAGGGACAGCUGGCUUGUCUCACCUACUUGCUGUCUUUCUCCAGUGAGGCUAUCUUUAACACCACCCAGACAGAGUUCAGCAAAAAAGUCUUUGCCAUCCAGCAGCCAUUUUUCCAAAAUAGAUGAUGCGAACUUUGUCUCUUUGAAUGGUGGGGAAGAAAAGUUAAAUGUUGAGGCCGGAUUUACAAACUCUCCGUCUUCAGCAUCCAGACGCUCCCCUUUUUCAUCCCCAUCUGGCCGCAUGCCCCAGAAAAACAAGAAGGAAAGAAAACUGCCUUCUCCGAGAGCUUCUGUAGACUCUGGCUACCAGCAGCCCACAGUUUCCUCAAGGACACGAGCCUUGUCACCUUACACCCACCGCAAGAUGUGCCAGCUUUCAGAGGACGCCCGACAGAGGCUCAGCCACCUCCAGCUGGGGCCUCACCACUUCAGGAAGGAGACUGAGAGCCAGCCGCCCUUCUUGGUCUCUCUUUGCAGCAGUGUGUCUGGGAUGGGAACUCCUUUCUCCUCUCCACAGAAUGGUAGCACGCAUCGACAUGCUGUCAGCUUCGCGACUGAUCACAUAGACAUAACUGGAUUCUUCUCUCCUGGGGAGUUACAGACCAAGAACAGCCAGAGUGAAGUCAGGUUCUGUGAGGGUCCAGUUGUCUCCAGAGCCACAGUCCAGACUUGAAGCCCGGACCAAAAGCCCUGUGAGAGGUGCUGCCCUGACCAUGUUAAACUCCAGAAGUCCUCUGAACCUCAACCAUUCCCUCAGAGAAAGACUACAGACCAGUCAACCCAGUCCAUCCUACUGGGAGCAGAUCCACAGCCGAGUCCAGCGGAUUCUGCAGACACACAAACCCCCCUGGGACCACCAAGUGCCCUUUGACCUGUAACUUACUGAUCUGCCUGCAAAGUGACCAAACAACUAAGGUUACAAUACAGAGACUCUUCAAUGUUAAA
Micropterus dolomieu (smallmouth bass) is the source of this 1512-nucleotide RNA transcript. It is a transcript of the gene named spermatogenesis associated 6, with no coding region annotated. The transcript has 12 exons. Lineage: Eukaryota; Metazoa; Chordata; Actinopteri; Centrarchiformes; Centrarchidae. The record is from RefSeq and is a predicted model, not a curated record.